UACAGAGGUCCCGAGCGUUGUUCGGAUUCAUUGGGCGUAAAGGGUGCGUAGGCGGCGGGGCAAGUCUGAUGUGAAAUCCCGGGGCUCAACCCCGGAACUGCAUUGGAUACUGCCUUGCUAGAGUACUGGAGAGGGAACUGGAAUUUACGGUGUAGCAGUGAAAUGCGUAGAGAUCGUAAGGAAGGCCAGUGGCGAAGGCGAGUUCCUGGACAGUAACUGACGCUGAGGAACGAAGGCCAGGGGAGCAAACGGG
Molecule: ribosomal RNA, 253 nt
Filed under: uncultured bacterium
Lineage: Bacteria
Description: partial 16S ribosomal RNA
Rfam family: Bacterial small subunit ribosomal RNA
Source: RNAcentral